Non-coding RNA from Paramuricea clavata, 72 nucleotides. Lineage: Eukaryota; Metazoa; Cnidaria; Anthozoa; Malacalcyonacea; Plexauridae. The record is from the annotation of a GenBank genome assembly.
GGCGUGAUGGUCUAGUGGUAAGGACAAAGUGUUGCAAGUUUGUGAGCCCAGAUUCGAUUCCUGGUUGUGUCA